AUACGAAGGGGGCAAGCGUUGUUCGGAAUAACUGGGCGUAAAGCGCACGUAGGCGGAUUGAUCAGUUAGGGGUGAAAUCCCAGGGCUCAACCCUGGAACUGCCUUUAAUACUGUCAGUCUAGAGAUCGAGAGAGGUGAGUGGAAUUCCGAGUGUAGAGGUGAAAUUCGUAGAUAUUCGGAGGAGCACCAGUGGCGAAGGCGGCUCACUGGCUCGAUACUGACGCUGAGGUGCGAAAGCGUGGGGAGCAAACAGGAUUAGAAACCCCAGUAGUCC
This 274-nucleotide ribosomal RNA is filed under the name uncultured bacterium. RNAcentral's name for it is "partial 16S ribosomal RNA". It matches the Rfam family "Bacterial small subunit ribosomal RNA", at positions 523 to 796 of the family's 1533-position model. The record is from RNAcentral.